GUCGACAAGGCCUUCUUCUCAGCCAAGAUUCAUCCAACACAAGAAAGAAGCAUUUUGGUUCUACAGGUUUUUGUCUAUUGUAUAUGAUCAUAUAAUAAAUCCAGGUCAUUGGACUGAAGACAUGAGAGAAGAGGCACUUGAACCUGCUGAUUUGUAUGACCGGAAUAUGCGAGUUGUUGAUGUUGGAGGAGGAACUGGAUUCACUACUCUUGGUAUUGUGAAGCAUGUUGAUGCUAAAAAUGUUACAAUUCUUGAUCAGUCUCCUCAUCAGUUGGCUAAGGCUAAGAAGAAGGAAGCAUUGAAAGAAUGUAAGAUAAUUGAAGGUGAUGCAGAAGAUCUUCCUUUUCCGACUGAUUAUGCCGAUCGAUAUGUUUCUGCUGGAAGGUAUUGUGUGUUCACAAUUUUUUCUUCACAAUAACUAUGCAUCCUCUUAGAAUUUCGGGUUAGGUCUAACUCAACUCUUAUAAAAGUGAUGUGUAACAUGAGGACGGUCUAAUCCAUCACUUAUAAACAUAUUUUCAGGCAUUAUCUCGUCUACGUCUUUCAUUUUUAUUUUUCUUUAAGCAAAAAUAUAUGAAUUGUCUUGGCAUGAAUUUUGUUAGAAUAGCAACCUAGUUUAAAAGUAAAGGAUAUGAAAAAAAACGUAAAUAGAGAGCUGUUGGAACAUGAUGAAUAAUUGGAGGAAACUUGGUAUUGAAGUAAACACAUUGUGUUAGAUUCAUGUAUAGUGUGAAUUGGAAAAAAGACUCUUUAAGUCUCACAUUGCUAAGAUCACACUACUUGGUAGUGUUUAUAUACCACAAAGUGGCAACCAAGGGUGUGCCCUUGGGGUACCCACUUUUGUAAGAAAGGGAGAUCGCACACAAUGUCGAAUAUCACACACGUGCGCCACCGCCAUCCGGCUCGGGACGGGCUGGGCUUAAUUUUUUAAUACUAAGAGAAAGAAAAUUUUGAAAUUUCCUUUUAUGUGUGUCCCUUAAUUCGCACAUGUUAAAUGUGCUUAGACCAAGUCUGAAACAGAUUUUCAAAUACGUGGCCUAUUCUUUUGCCCACGUUUUUUCGUAUCCUCUGAUUCCAGCUCCCUACUUGCCUAUAAAUACCACUUCAUUUCUUCAAUUUGAAACUCACUUCUGUUUCUCUGCAUUCUGAGAAAACUGCUUCUUUCUUACUCUCUAUUUUUUUUUCGAAAAUAUUUUUGUUGUUUCCAUCUUUGAACAGUUGUAACCGUAGAAUUGAUAUUCGCAUAUCAAUUAGAGUGGUUCGAAAUUUCGUACCAUAUUAUUAUGGCCGAUACUACAGUGCAGUAGUUUAUCGGUAUUUAUUUGAAAAACGGCUGUUUUAUCCUGGGGACUUCGCGGUUGAUAUACUACAGUGCACUUCUUCGAGUAGUUCCGCGAAACGUCUUAAAGAAAGCGACCUAAUACGCGACUCAGCCAAUAAUUUGUUUCGUUGCCAAUUUAAAAAAAAAAAAUCGUUUUCUGUUUUUUAAAGUCAGUAAACCAGUUUUUAACUAGAGCACACAAUGUUGAUUACGAUUGUGUCUGCCACUCUUAACUUCAAUAUUUUAGUGGAAAAUGCUAACUUAAUCUUAAACUUCAUCGUUAAGUCAAAAAUGCCAAAGUAUAAAAUUAAUUUUUAAUAUUGGCUGUGUAACAUAAUUUUUUUUAAUGGAAAAUUGUUAGUAUAUUAGUUAUUGUGUUAAUUGUUUUUAUACUUUGUCGGGACUUAACCCUAAACUUCCAACCCUUUUAAUUCUUAGCUCAACUAUUUCAACUUAUUGAGCUACUCAUCUCACCCCGACUUUGUCUAACAUGUAAUACCACAUUAGGUAGUGUAUGUGCACAAACUUUAUUUGAGCCUUGUCCAUAAAAAAAAAAAUUAUAUGAGCAUUAGAUUUUAAAGUCUCGUUAAAUUUUAGGGUGUUUUUUAGUACUGAAAAUUUCUCCAUUUCUCUCGCUUCCCUCACCCAUAUCAUGAAGAAUAUGUUGGACCUAGGGGAGCCUCACCGGGUUGGAUCAGUAUAUUGGGCUUUGAACAAUUAUAUAAGUGACCUUGACACAACACGUUAAUUCAAAAUCUUAAGGCUACUUGUAUGUCACUCAAUCUCAACUCUUCCAACUAAUGUGAGACUUAACUCAUACUUGAUAGAUCUCAACAUCACCACUCAAGUGUUAGUCUCUCCGUGUCUACGAUCCAUCUUUACUCCCUUAUUGUUCUCCCAUCAACGGGCUCUGAUAUUACCGUUGGGCCGUGAGGGGGAGCGUCAUUAGGUUGGAUCAGCACAUUGGGCAUUGAACAACCACACAAGUGACUUGGGCACCACACUUUCACUGAAAACCUUAAGGCAGCAUUAUGUUUAUGAGUCAUCUCACUUAUAUGUUGCUCAAUCUCAAAUCUUCUAGCCAAUGUAGGACUUAACCCACACUUAAUAAAUCUCAACAAAAUACUGUUACAAAUAUAGCUUUACUUUACAAAGAUGGAGGUAGCCGGAAAAUUCAUAGUCAUGGUAGAUAUAAUGGUAGUCUAGUGACGAGAGAGUUUGUGACUAAGAGCAAAAAUCUUAUUUUUCUUUUCGUAGGCGAGCUUUCGGUUAUGGGAAACUUGCUAGAGAGGCGGUGUUUAAAAAGUCAAACUUCUCCAAUCAUAAAGGAGAUGACAAGGAAUACGAAUAUGAUGUUUGUUUUUAAGAUCGACUAUCAUUAUCAUGGUGGCGAGAAAUUGCUUUUGAAUGCGGUGGAGCUCCAACGAGAAUGGUGGUAGUUUGAAUACGAGUUUCGUGUACUAGAUAGAGCUUGACCAAGGGAGAAAAGAGAUGGUAGGGCACGUCUGUUGGUGGUCGGACGGUUGCAAGGAGUGGCCGAGAAGGUGGUGGCGGAGGUGGCACACAGUUUGACUACGUUUUUCGAAGAUAAUGAGUAGAAAACUAGUGUAAUAAAAUCAUAUUAACUUUGAUGAAAAUUUAUUAUCUAAUGAUUACAAAAUGUUGCAUAUGAUGUACAAUAUGGGACCAGGAUUUCAUGUUGUCAACUAUUUACACAGUUCUACGCGGUAAUAAAUUUGGACUGUUGAUUUGAGACCAGACGGUCUAAAUCACUUGUAUAAUAAAACAAUCUCAAUUGUGUAUUCAAAUUGAACGGUUGAGAACAGUAACUACAUGUCACAGCAGGAAAUUCAAAACCCAAUAUAUGUAAGGUUUGUGCAUAGUAGAACUCGCCAUUCGUAUUAAUUAGUAGGUAAUAAUUUAUCUAUAUUUGGUGUGUCGCAUAUUCCGCAACUACUUGGCUGUUCCUCUAAUAAAUUGUACCAAAAAAGAUAAGAUCCAACACACCAUUCUUUUCAUGUGAUAGCAAUGCCUCAUUGGUGAAUGGAACAAGAGAGUCAGAGUCAUGACUUUUGAAGUUCAACUUGGACAGAACCUGUUUGUAGCCUCUAUAAUAUGUAUAGUUUGACCUCGCCCUAGCUUAUCUAUGUUUGGUGGUGUGUCACAUAUUCCAACUCCUUGGUUGUCCCUCUAAUAAAUUCUACCAAAAAAGAUACUCCACUAUCCACUUAUUUAUAUAGUAGCAUAAUCCAUAAUAUAACUUGCCAUUUUCCAAUUCUGUUACAAAUUCCAUACCUUCCAUGUCUCAGCCAAGAUGCAUCCAACACAAGAGAGAAGCAUUUUGGUUCUACAGGUUUUUGUCUAUUGUAUAUGAUAACAUGCUAAAUUUUGGUCCCUGGACUGAAGAUAUGAGAGAAGAGGCACUUGAACCUGUUGAUUUGUAUGACCGGAAUAUGCGAGUUGUUGAUGUUGGAGGAGGAACUGGAUUCUCUACUCUUGGUAUUGUUAAGCAUGUUGAUGCUAAAAAUGUUACCAUUAUUGAUCAGUCUCCUCAUCAGUUGGCUAAGGCUAAGAAG
Molecule: long non-coding RNA, 3897 nt
Filed under: Trifolium pratense (red clover)
Lineage: Eukaryota; Viridiplantae; Streptophyta; Magnoliopsida; Fabales; Fabaceae
Description: long non-coding RNA (TPRA_LNC001175)
Source: RNAcentral